RNAcentral lists this long non-coding RNA (597 nucleotides) under Populus trichocarpa (black cottonwood). Its description in RNAcentral is "long non-coding RNA (PTRI_LNC000737)". Lineage: Eukaryota; Viridiplantae; Streptophyta; Magnoliopsida; Malpighiales; Salicaceae. The record is from RNAcentral.
AUAUAUCAAGUCUUGAAUGAGAACCACUUGUAGAAAAGUUAAAGGCAGAUAAGAGAAUCUCACCUGAAAAUCUUCGUCUUCUUCCUUUCCUCUCCACCAAAACAAACCCCAAUUUCAAUUUCCUGAAAAAAGAAGAUAAAGGAAUAAAAGGGGGAAGUGAAGUUCAAGUCUCCAUGGACAGACUGGUAAAGGCAGACGUGAAGGAAGUGGAGAUAGCAUAUAAGGGAAGUCAAAACUGCAGCACAACUUUCAGAUUAACCAACCUUAUGCACACCAUGUCUGUGGCAAUCUCUUUGUCUACGACAAACCCUUCUGCUUUCUCUUUCGCACAGCCUUUCUCUAUAAUACCACCUUUGUCUUCCUCAUCUUACACAAUUGUCCUCUCUCAGUUAUCCGAACAGCCUCCUCUGUCUACUCCUCCUGAUGCCAUCUCUGUUAAAUCAUCCAUGCUACCUACAGGCAAGGCUCAUCAGGAUGAACUCCGCCGACUGUUUUCAAAACCUGGACCCCAUAUUUUUAGAGACGCCACCAUACCUGUCUACCUCGUGGGUCCCCAAGUUGCUGAAUAUAUCAUCUCCAAUCACACCCAAAUUACUG